Molecule: long non-coding RNA, 425 nt
Organism: Suricata suricatta (meerkat)
Lineage: Eukaryota; Metazoa; Chordata; Mammalia; Carnivora; Herpestidae
Exons: 4
Source: RefSeq, a predicted model, not a curated record
AGCCGGGUGGAGCUGCCGGCUGACCUAGCGGGGAGGCGCCGCGGCCGGGCUGGGGCACCGGGCGAGAGUGGCGGAGGCAGACGUGGGGCUUUGAUUGCCUUAUGGCAGCAAGCGCAAGCCGGAUUGUUCGAGCAACACAAUCUGCCUACUGUGUGCAGAGCAUGGUGAUGGGGGACGCAAAGUGCCAGGUGGAAGACACAAGGAAGUAUAAAAUGGACCGAGUCCUGUUCUCCAGAGAGCUCUCAGGCAGCUAAAGAAGGAUUUCUGUCAGAUAUGUAAACAGGCUGAUUUUCAUCAGGACUAGGAUCUGGAGGAUUUUCAUCAGGACCAGGUUCUGCUUGAGGAAUAAACAGAGCUACUUGUGCAAUAUUGGAUAGUUUUGAUGUCAGAUUGCUUUUAUCCACACUUUGAAUCGCAAUAAAGAU